UGGCUUCCAUCUGGAAGAAGUCUGGAGACAGGUGGCUGCAUGGCUGUCGUCAGCUCGUGUCGUGAGAUGUUGGGUUAAGUCCGCAACGAGCGCAACCCUUGCCUUAGUUGCCAGCAGUUCGGCUGGGCACUCUAAAGGGACUGCCGGUGUUAAACCGGAGGAAGGUGGGGAUGACGUCAAGUCCUCAUGGCCUUUAUGACCAGGGCUACACACGUACUACAAUGGCCGAUACAAAGGGCAGCGACACUGCGAGGUGAAGCCAAUCCCGUAAAAUCGGUCUCAGUCCGGAUUGGAGUCUGCAACUCGACUCCAUGAAGUUGGAAUCGCUAGUAAUCGUGGAUCAGCAUGCCACGGUGAAUACGUUCCCGGGCCUU
This 374-nucleotide ribosomal RNA is filed under the name uncultured Desulfobulbus sp. RNAcentral describes it as "bacterial SSU rRNA". It matches the Rfam family "Bacterial small subunit ribosomal RNA", at positions 1012 to 1382 of the family's 1533-position model. The record is from RNAcentral. Lineage: Bacteria; Pseudomonadati; Thermodesulfobacteriota; Desulfobulbia; Desulfobulbales; Desulfobulbaceae.